GAGGCCUUAGCUUAAUUAAAGUGUCUGAGUUGCAUUCAGAGGAUGUAUGUUAGAGUUUUUACAGGUCUU
RNAcentral lists this transfer RNA (69 nucleotides) under Tarentola deserti. Its description in RNAcentral is "tRNA-Ala". Lineage: Eukaryota; Metazoa; Chordata; Lepidosauria; Squamata; Phyllodactylidae. The record is from RNAcentral.